Non-coding RNA from Brachypodium distachyon (stiff brome), 111 nucleotides. Lineage: Eukaryota; Viridiplantae; Streptophyta; Magnoliopsida; Poales; Poaceae. The record is from RefSeq and is marked provisional.
UUGAUGGCUGCCCCAAGCUGAGAGCUCUCCCACGACAGCUUGGACAGGAGGCCACCUGCUUGGAAGAGCUCGGAUUGAGAGGAGCAAGCAGCUUGAAGGUGGUGGAGGACC